AGUAACGCGUAAACAACCUGCCCUUCGGAUGGGGAUAACAGCCGGAAACGGCUGCUAAUACCGAAUACGAUCUUUUCGUCGCAUGACGAAAAGAAGAAAGGAUGGCCUCUAUACAAAGCUAUCGCCGAAGGAGGGGUUUGCGUCUGAUUAGCUGGUUGGAGGGGUAACGGCCCAACAAGGCGAUGAUCAGUAGCCGGUCUGAGAGGAUGAACGGCCACAUUGGGACUGAGACACGGCCCAGACUCCUACGGGAGGCAGCAGCC
RNAcentral lists this ribosomal RNA (263 nucleotides) under uncultured Megasphaera sp. RNAcentral describes it as "partial 16S ribosomal RNA". It matches the Rfam family "Bacterial small subunit ribosomal RNA", at positions 109 to 355 of the family's 1533-position model. The record is from RNAcentral. Lineage: Bacteria; Bacillati; Bacillota; Negativicutes; Veillonellales; Veillonellaceae.